This 798-nucleotide ribosomal RNA is filed under the name uncultured bacterium. Its description in RNAcentral is "SSU rRNA". It matches the Rfam family "Bacterial small subunit ribosomal RNA", at positions 72 to 853 of the family's 1533-position model. The record is from RNAcentral.
UUGGGAGCUUGCUCCCUGAUGUUAGCGGCGGACGGGUGAGUAACACGUGGGUAACCUGCCUGUAAGACUGGGAUAACUCCGGGAAACCGGGGCUAAUACCGGAUGCUUGUUUGAACCGCAUGGUUCAAACAUAAAAGGUGGCUUCGGCUACCACUUACAGAUGGACCCGCGGCGCAUUAGCUAGUUGGUGAGGUAAUGGCUCACCAAGGCAACGAUGCGUAGCCGACCUGAGAGGGUGAUCGGCCACACUGGAACUGAGACACGGCCCAGACUCCUACGGGAGGCAGCAGUAGGGAAUCUUCCGCAAUGGACGAAAGUCUGACGGAGCAACGCCGCGUGAGUGAUGAAGGUUUUCGGAUCGUAAAGCUCUGUUGUUAGGGAAGAACAAGUAUCGUUCGAAUAGGGCGGUACCUUGACGGUACCUAACCAGAAAGCCACGGCUAACUACGUGCCAGCAGCCGCGGUAAUACGUAGGUGGCAAGCGUUGUCCGGAAUUAUUGGGCGUAAAGGGCUCGCAGGCGGUUUCUUAAGUCUGAUGUGAAAGCCCCCGGCUCAACCGGGGAGGGUCAUUGGAAACUGGGGAACUUGAGUGCAGAAGAGGAGAGUGGAAUUCCACGUGUAGCGGUGAAAUGCGUAGAGAUGUGGAGGAACACCAGUGGCGAAGGCGACUCUCUGGUCUGUAACUGACGCUGAGGAGCGAAAGCGUGGGGAGCGAACAGGAUUAGAUACCCUGGUAGUCCACGCCGUAAACGAUGAGUGCUAAGUGUUAGGGGGUUUCCGCCCCUUAGUGCUGCAGCU